ACGGGGCCCGCACAAGCGGUGGAGCAUGUGGUUUAAUUCGAUGAUACGCGAGGAACCUUACCUGGGCUCAAAUGUAUGUUGACGUAUUCUGAAAGGGAUACUUCUUCGGACAAUAUACAAGGUGCUGCAUGGUUGUCGUCAGCUCGUGCCGUGAGGUGUCGGGUUAAGUCCCAUAACGAGCGCAACCCCUAUCUAUUAGUUGCCAUCAGGUAAUGCUGGGGACUCUAAAGGAACUGCCUACGCAAGUAGUGAGGAAGGCGGGGAUGACGUCAAAUCAGCACGGCCCUUACGUCCAGGGCUACACACGUGCUACAAUGGCCGAUACAGAGGGCAGCUACCUGGUGACAGGAUGCAAAUCUCCAAAGUCGGUCUCAGUUCGGAUCGGAGUCUGCAACCCGACUCCGUGAAGUUGGAUUCGCUAGUAAUCGCGCAUCAGCCAUGGCGCGGUGAAUACGUUCCCGGGCCUU
RNAcentral lists this ribosomal RNA (467 nucleotides) under uncultured Sphingobacteriales bacterium. RNAcentral's name for it is "bacterial SSU rRNA". It matches the Rfam family "Bacterial small subunit ribosomal RNA", at positions 916 to 1381 of the family's 1533-position model. The record is from RNAcentral. Lineage: Bacteria; Pseudomonadati; Bacteroidota; Sphingobacteriia; Sphingobacteriales.